CAAUAGCGUAUACUAAUGUUGUUGCAGUUAAAAAGCUCGUAGUUGAACUUCUGGUAGGAGUGUCCCGGCCUUUUUGUUUUUACAAAUUGUAUGCUGUGUGACAUCUCUGGCCAUCCUUCUUCUUUGUUUAAAGAAGAUCUUUCACUGUAAAAAAAUUAGGGUGUUCAAAGCGAAAGUUUCUUUGGAAUAUAUUAGUAUGGGAUGAUAAGAUAGGCUCUAGAUGCUAUUUUGUUGGUUUGCACAUUUAGAGAAUGAUUAACAGGGACAGUUGGGGGUAUUCGUAUUUACAUGUCAGAGGUGAAAUUCUUGGAUUUUGGAAAGACGAACUACUGCGAAAGCAUUUACCAAGGAUGUUUUCAUUAA
RNAcentral lists this ribosomal RNA (363 nucleotides) under uncultured eukaryote. Its description in RNAcentral is "partial 18S ribosomal RNA". It matches the Rfam family "Eukaryotic small subunit ribosomal RNA", at positions 592 to 976 of the family's 1831-position model. The record is from RNAcentral.